This is an RNA transcript of Astyanax mexicanus (Mexican tetra), 1853 nucleotides long. It is a transcript of the gene named mediator of DNA damage checkpoint protein 1-like, with no coding region annotated. NCBI's taxonomy places the organism in Eukaryota, Metazoa, Chordata, Actinopteri, Characiformes, Acestrorhamphidae. The record is from RefSeq and is a predicted model, not a curated record. The transcript is spliced from 11 exons.
UCAGUGUGGAUGCAUCUGUUGAAGACAAAUCUUUAGGGAGGCUUGUAAAUGAUGAACACAAGAAACCAAACUGCAAAAUAAAAGUUGUUGAAGUAGAUGGAAUGCCAACCCUGUGCUUAUUUGCACUUAGAGAUAUUUUACCAGGAGAAGAAAUUAACUAUAAUUAUGGGGAUUCAGAUUGGCCCUGGCGCAAACAGGUUAAACCAGAAGCUUCCACUGCCAAGACUCUUCAGAAGCCUCUUAUAACUACAGGGGAAGAGAACUAUCCUGUGAAGUGUGCAAAGAGAGCACUGACUGCUAGCAGAGUUCAAGAAAAGAGAGAGGCUCCCAGGAAGUCUUUCACAAUUAUGGAGAGUGAGGAACAAGGAGAACACUCUGUUUGUUGUAUCCAGAAGAGCCCUGAGACAGACUGCUCUUCCUGCCCAGUUAUAGACGAGGACAGUUCACAGGACAAGCCUUUGGGUGCUGCAGAAAACCAGAUGUAUGCAGAAACUCCCAUGAGUCACAUUGUGAGGGAUAAGCAGACCGUUUCUUCACGUCAGACAAAAGGAAGGACUAGGUCACUCGAAAGGCCUCUUGGAAUUACAGAGCGUAAGGAACAAGGAGAACACUCUGUUAGUUGCAUCCAGAAGAGCCCUGAGACAGACUGCUCUUCCUGCCCAGUUAUAGACGAGGACAGUUCACAGGACAAGCCUUUGGGUGCUGCAGAAAACCAGGAACAAGGAGAACACUCUGUUAGUUGUAUCCAGAAGAGCCCUGAGACAGACUGCUCUUCCUGCCCAGUUAUAGACGAGGACAGUUCACAGGACAAGCCUUUGGGUGCUGCAGAAAACCAGUGUGGAACUGCAGAACAUGUUCCGAGAACAGAUAUGAAACAGAGUGCUUUGGAAAAGCACCGUGAAAUGCUCUUGCUUCAGCGUGCAGAACUUUCAUGUGAAAUAUCCAAGAUAGACAAAUUGUUGGAUUCACCAUCUCCUGGAGCUGACAGCCGUGGUAGCAACUCCUUACUUGGUACUGAAGACUUAGAGAGAACCUGCUUCAUUCAGAAGAAUGUGACAUGUCAAGUGAUGAUGAUAAUGAUGACUAUGAGCCUGUAGACCCAGUGACAACAGAAUCUGUUAAGCCUGCAGUCCCAGCUACUGGUCCUGACACUUUGGCAUCUCCUGUAUCAGCUGUGACUCCCAAACAAGAUGCAGCAAGAAAGCCAAAACGUAAGUGGCAGGCCUCUGAGGUAUGUGCAGUAGAGCGGCAUCUGAUGAGAUACAUCCAAACUGGUAAAGUGCCUCAGAAGCUAGACUGUAUCCAAUGUUUACACGCAGAAUCCCACGCGCUCAGCGAUCGAUCAUGGACCGAUGUGAAAAAUUUUGUACGCAACAGGAGCAUCACCUUAAAGAAACAGUUCAGCUCAGCUUGUUAGGGCAAAAUUGUGUUAAUAUUGUUGGUGUAAUAUUUGUUCUGCAACACAUAUAAAGCAAGAUGUCAUAUUUAGCCAGAUAAUUAAACCUUUACUGAAUUUUACCAAAAGCUUAUUGAACAGAAAUCGUGUAAAGUAUGUGUACAGAUAUCUGGGUAACUUUUGUGAAAUACUCCCAGCUUUUUACUGUCGCAGUUUUGUAAUGAAAUGUAAUUCAGACAGACCCACAGCACUGUGCAAACGUCUUGUGGAUAACUAUUUAUCUUGGUAGUAUAGAGUUUGUACAAAUCAACAUUAACUUAAGAAUAAAUAUAAAUUGGCAUAAAACAAUUCUUAUUUAGUAGUUCAAUAAAUGAGGCACUGCUUGUGGAAUUUAACAGAUCCAGUCUUUUGACAGCACUAACUUCACUAUAACAAAUCCUGUAUAAUAAGUUUUGUU